UCUCUAAAGUCUAGAUCCCUCUAAUCUCUCUUCUCUCUUUUUCUACACUCUUUCUUUCUUUGAAUCUCUUCUAAUCCAUUCUUCUACCGCAACCCUCCCAAAACCAUCUACAUUCGAAUCCAUGUAUCUACUCGAUUGCUGACGGAUCAAUUAUCAAGCAACGAUCAGAGCAUUCGUUCUCAAGGAAAGCAUUUGUUCUCCAGGUCUUCACUCCAAUAGCACCACUAAGCCAUCAGACCAAAGGGCUUUGGAUAUAUCUAUGUGAAUGGAACGGGAAACCCUUGAACAG
Molecule: long non-coding RNA, 289 nt
Organism: Impatiens glandulifera
Lineage: Eukaryota; Viridiplantae; Streptophyta; Magnoliopsida; Ericales; Balsaminaceae
Exons: 3
Source: RefSeq, a predicted model, not a curated record